This 27-nucleotide non-coding RNA is filed under the name Rattus norvegicus (Norway rat). The record is from RNAcentral. Lineage: Eukaryota; Metazoa; Chordata; Mammalia; Rodentia; Muridae.
UCUGCCAUUCUUAGCAUGUCACUCCAU